GGGCAGGCCAUACGGACGCCAAAAAGUGUCCCUGGCCGCCUACACCCACUAUACAUCCACAAACCCGUGUGCACUGUCUUGGAGAAAGGCUUCAGAGAAGUUUUUUGUGGCCUCUCUUGGGGUCUUUCUUCGCUACAAACUCGAAUGGUUAGUAUGAACGUGGAACUUGGUUGGACCGUCACUGGCCAACAAACUAUACACAACUUUCGACAACGGAUCUCUUGGUUCUCCCAUCGAUGAAGAACGCAGCGAAACGCGAUAGGUAAUGUGAAUUGCAGAAUUCCGUGAAUCAUCGAAUCUUUGAACGCACCUUGCGCUCUAUGGCAAUCCGUAGAGCAUGCCUGUUUGAGUGCCAUGAAAUCUCCCACCCCAAGCGGUUUUUAAAUGAAACGGCUUGGCGGAUGGGGUCUGGAUGGGUGCCUCUGCCUGCGCUACCAAGCACAGGCUCGCCCGAAAUGCAUGAGCGCCUUGAGACACUUUGCAUCCGCCUCUCUGUUUGGGAGGAGGCGGCCAAGCAGUGCUUUUCUCCUGGCAUGGCAUGAUACGUCAUUUGCUAUGUCGCCUAAAGGAGGA
This 573-nucleotide small RNA is filed under the name uncultured fungus. RNAcentral's name for it is "eukaryotic LSU rRNA". The stretch from base 202 to 355 matches the Rfam family "5.8S ribosomal RNA". The record is from RNAcentral. Lineage: Eukaryota; Fungi.